Molecule: non-coding RNA, 1172 nt
Organism: Paramisgurnus dabryanus
Lineage: Eukaryota; Metazoa; Chordata; Actinopteri; Cypriniformes; Cobitidae
Source: RefSeq, a predicted model, not a curated record
AUUCCAGCGAAUGCGUUACGACAGGCACUGUCAUUGUGUGAAUUAUUAAUGAUAUAGUGAUCCAAGCAUUACGUCGAGUUUGCCGUAAGCUUACCUCAUAGCCAUCAUAAGCCAGGUACGCUGACGGAAGGGUAACGUAACCACACGGAAGAGCCAAAAAGUACUAUGGAGGAAUACAAACGCAAAAGCAGCAGCAGUAACAACAACAACAGAAAACAGUUUUGUUAGAUAAAUGGCCUUGGGCAAAAGUCUUUAUAACUGCAAUAACAUAAGUUAGUGGAAACAGUGUCAGGCUUUCCCAGAUGGAGACAAUAUAGUGAGGUAAAAUUUUAGUGCUGUUUAAAUGAAUGCGUUGUGUUUGUUAUUCAUUUAAAAAUAUGAACAUAAAGUUAUGACUCAUGACAAACUGGCAAGAGAGUAAAUAACACAGAUCUGUCCAAAUAUGAGGGAAACUAUAUUCCUUUGUAGGCCUACUGUGUAGCAUUAUUAGAAUUAUUCACCCAGUGUUUAUUCACAAGAUUGACCGAAGCUUAUUUAGAUGACCAAAUUAUGAACAAUGACCCACCCUGAGGCUGUAAGCGUGUGCCUGAUGAGAGAAUGCGUACUUGAAGCAGUUAUAGGACUUAAUAUAUUCAAGAAGACCAAGCGAUCCUUAUAGGACUACAUGCAAAGCAAUGUAUUCCAGACCGCACAACUGGACAUACAGAUUGUGCCCUGAUGCCAUCUGCCCCGUUCUCCCAGCCUCAUCUUCCCUCUCCAGGGUUUCCGCGGGGUUGUAAAAGGCAUUGCACUUCUGAGGUCAUCACCAUCUUUCUUCAGCCAACCAAAAUGAUUCUCACCAACCACCCCAGCUCUGCUAAGCUUGAUGUUGGAGGUCUGCUGUUUUUGAAGCAGGGGACCACUGUCCAUUAAAGGCUUCAUAAACCAUUUAACAAAAUCACAUAAGAUAGGGUAGUUCAUACUCCAUGCGAUGUGCCAUACAAUGGAAGGGCCAUGUUCCUUAUCACAUCUGGAUACUGCAAAGCUCCUGUCUCCUCAACAAGUUACGAACUAAUCAAUUAUUAAAUGAUGAAAUGCUAUGGAAAAGCAAAGAUAUUUCUUCCUGUGGAGUUUGAGUCUUAAAUUUAGUAAUUACUGUUUAAUGGCAUAAAUAAAAGUUAAAUAUUAUGUUA